CGAGAUUCCCCCAGUAGCGGCGAGCGAACGGGGAGCAGCCCAGAGCCUGAAUCAGUGUGUGUGUUAGUGGAAGCGUCUGGAAAGGCGCGCGAUACAGGGUGACAGCCCCGUACACAAAAAUGCACAUACUGUGAGCUCGAUGAGUAGGGCGGGACACGUGGUAUCCUGUCUGAAUAUGGGGGGACCAUCCUCCAAGGCUAAAUACUCCUGACUGACCG
Molecule: ribosomal RNA, 218 nt
Filed under: Escherichia coli
Lineage: Bacteria; Pseudomonadati; Pseudomonadota; Gammaproteobacteria; Enterobacterales; Enterobacteriaceae
Description: partial 23S ribosomal RNA
Rfam family: Bacterial large subunit ribosomal RNA
Source: RNAcentral